Panthera uncia (snow leopard) is the source of this 1603-nucleotide long non-coding RNA. RefSeq lists it as uncharacterized. The transcript has 4 exons. NCBI's taxonomy places the organism in Eukaryota, Metazoa, Chordata, Mammalia, Carnivora, Felidae. The record is from RefSeq and is a predicted model, not a curated record.
GAACGUUGGUAACUACCAAUGAACCUUGGCCAAGCCCCCAUGUGGCAAGAAAAGCCGUUUCUCCUGUGAUUCCAUUUUCUGACUAGAAAGUAACGCUAAACUGUAAGAUUUAACACCCCUGAGGCAUCAAAGCCUCCAGGCUGUUAAGGAGCAGGCAGCAGAGGCCUCCUAGGGUCAGGGGCAAUGAAGGGCGGAGGCCCUGCACCAGCUUCCACCUUUCUGCGGCCGCCAGCCCUCACCCUCGCAGCCCACUGAGCAAGACGCGUCAGGGAGGAGUACAAGCCAAGCUUCCUCUCGCCGCCAAGCCAGGAGGACCCUUGCGGCUAAAUGAGACAAGCUAUUAUCUAGCAGCUCAAAUUGAGCAACCCCAGGGAGGAGGCAAGCACAGGCGGAGACCACAAGCAAAACAAGGGCAAGAAACCCGAUGGAAAGAUUGAGGCAUACAAAAGUUACGCAGCUUGGCCCAAGUCGCAUGGAUAGGAAGUGGCAGAACUAUGAUUCAGAGCCAGGGACGUACUUUUAACUACUAUUGCUAUGAAAUUAAAGAAAUCAGAGAAAUUGAAAAGCAAAAAUGUUCCAACAUACACAAAAGCAGAGAAAAUGGUAUAAAGAGCCCCAUGUACCCAUCAGCCAACUUGAACAAUUAUCACUAUUUUGCUAUUCUUGCCUCAUGGAUUUCUUUCAAAAUAGAAAUUGUUAAGGCUCCACUCCAGGAGGGUCUGGAAUGUAUCUUUCAAGGAGCUGCCAGGUUGGAAUAGCCUAAACUCCGGUCCUGGGCCUGGGGCCACACCUGCCUAAGGAAGAUACUUCCUCAGUGGCCUGAAUCCACAUGCUACUAAAACAGAUCCCUCAACAUUGGCUACUCAAGCAAGGGAUUUCUCUCCUCCUGCACCAAAAGAAUCCACAUGGUGACUCUUUCAACAGUUGAUGCCAGGGUGGCUCACAUACAAGAGAAUCCAACUUUAGCAAAGCAGGAAAGCACAAGUCUCUGGAACCACAGCUUUCAGGGAAGUGGGCUGUGGCUGGUGUGGAGAUGAUUCAGACUUCCACUGGGGUCAGAAGAGCAGGGGUGUAGCCAGAUUACUACUUUAGAGAGGAGUCUGUGCUCACCAUUUUGUUUGCUGUAGAUAUGUUCUAUCCCUGUCUAGAAAGCAAGCUUGUUCUUCAGCGAACGUGUAGCCAAAUCUAGUUAUGCCCAGCUUCCAGGGAGGAAUACAUCGGAAAAACAAAUUCACAGAGAAGUUGUCACGGAUAUUUAGGGGGUUGAGGUCCUAGAAUGUUUUGUCUUCAUUUCUAAGUGCCCAAGUGUUUAAAAAUAAAUAUUAUUCUCCGUUUCAACUUAUUUACAUUUGAGACCAAGAGAAUCAUUUAAAUGGUUUGUCCUCUUGGUUGUCAAAGAAAAUGUCUUGCCCAUCUAAAAAAGGGGCUUUUGGGGCACCUGGGUGGCUCAGUCGGUUAAGCAUCCAACUUCAGCUCAGGUCAUGAUCUCAUGGUUCAUGAGUUUGAGUCCUGCAUAGGGCUCUGCACUGAUGCUAUGGAACCUGCUUGGGAUUCUCUCUCUCUCUGCCCCUUCCCUGUGUUCUCUCUCUCUCUCUCUCUCUCU